This is a long non-coding RNA of Amphiprion ocellaris (clown anemonefish), 2214 nucleotides long. Lineage: Eukaryota; Metazoa; Chordata; Actinopteri; Pomacentridae. The record is from Ensembl.
AAGACAGCGCACCAGCGUCUUCUAUGGUCUGACCAAUAGUAUUCUAUGUAUCUAUGGUCUGCAUGUCUGGUAACGUCUCUGGCUGCUGUUGAUCUUGUUCAUGGAGUGAAACACGGUGGAAGCUGAAUUAGUGAGGAUGACUCCUGCUCCUAUCAUCUCUAAGCUCCUCACACAUCUUUACCUGCACAUGAGGAAAAUCACUCCUGUAGAAUGCAGAUGUUCAGAGGGAGAUGAUGCCACAUCUGGUCCAGCUGAUGGAAGGUCUUGAAGUUCUCUGACUGGCCUUGACUGAAGAUGGUCGUCUCACUGGAUUUAAGGUUCAGAUGCUCAGUAACAAACUCCACCAAUAAGCCAACAGGGAAGCUUUAGGUUGAUUAAAUGUUGCUAUGAAGGUUUCACUGUUUUUCUUUGUGGAUGCAAUGUGCUCCAACUGAAACUUGAAUUAGAACUUAGAAGUAAAUCCUUCCAUCUGAAAGCAUUUAGUUGCAUUAAUAACCUCAUAACAUUCUAAUUUUUAUUUCAGUCUUGGUUGGAAAUAGAAUCUCUGUAUUGAUUCAGGUAAAAACUGAACUUCACAGCAUGUUGGAGCAAAACAACCAGAUGAAAACUGUGAUGGUGUUGGAUUGUCAGACCGUAAUGUUGCAGCUCAAAGCAGCUUUUCUAUCUCAGUUCAUUCUGACAUUCAGCUAUGAAUCAACACAGCAGAUGGUGAUCCAUGCUGUGGAAGUCUCACAUCUCCUGAUUUAAUGGAGCUGCUUUGCACUUUUUACACUGUUUAUUCACCAACACUUUAUUUAAUAAAAGUCCCAUCUAGUUUUUAUGAGGAAUGUGAUGUUUUAAUUUCUCUGUGAAUAACUGCAGUCUAAUGCAACAGCUGGAAUUGUAACAUCUGUCCUGAUAUUGAUCAUGAAGUAUUGAUCAGAAUACUUAUGGUCAGCAGUCAUCCCUGAAGUUUUACAUUAAAAUCUUUACUUGUGUUGUGAACUUUGGUAAGAAGCAGAAACGUUAGCGUUGCCAUGGAUACAUGAGUGUUAAAUUCUGUCCAUGUUUCCAUUUUGGGAAAUUCAGUCCAGUUCCAGAAUGUGGAGGAAUUUAGUCUCACAAUCACAGACAACAAAUAUUAUCUGAAAGUUGGGUUAUUGUUGUUUAUCAGCACAAUACAAAAAGAUUAAUGUUAGAAAUAUUCCAGUUAAGACUCUAGAAUAUCAGGAUUUAUGUAAAUUUACCUCAAUAAUAUGAAUGUUCAGGUUAAGAUUGUGCAGUGAUCUUUAUUAUGUAAGUUUAGCUGAUUAAAUUUAUGACUGCAGUACAAUAUUAUUUAUUUAAAUUUACAUCAUUAUAAUAUUUAUGGUCAGACCCUACAGUAUUGAGAUUAAGAAAUCAAAUAUUCUAUAAAAUGUAAAUACACUGAACUCAUUUAGAUACAUUUAAGUGAGACUCUACAAUAUUAUUUGACACAAAUCUAUCUAAAUCAAAAUUUUAAUAAUUUUUACUCCAAACAUUUACUGAUUUAAAUAUUAAAAUCACUCCUUUCUAAUCCUCUGCUGUACGUUCAAACCUGAGGCCUUAAAUAGAAACACACAAGUAUCUGAUUGAAGGAACUUCUGCAGAGUCCUGGUUCCAGAACAUGAUGAUAGAAUUAUAGACAAACUUUAACACAAGCUGCCUGAGAGUUUACAGAUUUUUAUGUUGGAUUUCUUCAGUAAUUUAAUGAGAGUUAUCAGCAAAAAUCAAGUGUUCAUUUGAUGAACUUCAUUUCCUACAACAUACAGAAUUGGAGCUCAUAUCUUUGGCAGCUGUAAAGUUUCUGCUCCUUCAAAGUUCACAACACAAUGAAUUAAUUCCUAAAACACUCUCAAUGCUGGAGAGCGUUUGAUGCUGAAGCAGUGACCAGUUUUUCUGUUUCUUCUCUGGAGAUGCACAAUGAGGGACGUCUGCAGAGACUGAGAAAGAGUCUCACCACAUCCUGACAUGAGGAAAAAGACUUUAUUGAAGACUACAAUGAGAAAAACUAUCAGACAGCAGACGGCUGCAUUCAAGAAGACCAUCAAACAUCCAUGUCAGCUGAUGGAGAUCAAAGAGUCUCACCCAACAAACAACCUACAGAGUGAAGACCUCGAAUCUGAUUGGACGGCCUCCUAUUCAGCCACGUGUGAACAAAUGCCUCUAAGCUGAUUUGUUUUCUACAAUAAAUCUAGUUUGAGUCCUAAUCUA